This is a non-coding RNA of Podarcis lilfordi (Lilford's wall lizard), 72 nucleotides long. Lineage: Eukaryota; Metazoa; Chordata; Lepidosauria; Squamata; Lacertidae. The record is from the annotation of a GenBank genome assembly.
GGAAUGGGCUCAGUGGGAAGAGCAUCUGCUUUGCAUGCAGAAGGCCCCAGGUUCAAUCUCCAGGUAGGGUUG